RNAcentral lists this ribosomal RNA (380 nucleotides) under uncultured eukaryote. Its description in RNAcentral is "partial 18S ribosomal RNA". It matches the Rfam family "Eukaryotic small subunit ribosomal RNA", at positions 592 to 976 of the family's 1831-position model. The record is from RNAcentral.
CAAUAGCGUAUAUUAAAGUUGUUGCGGUUAAAAAGCUCGUAGUUGGAUUUCUGCCGAGGACGACCAGUCCGCCCACUGGGUGAGCAUCUGGCUCAGCCUUAGCAUCUUCUUGGAGAACGUAUCUGCACUUCAUUGUGUGGUGCGGUAACCAGGACUUUUACUUUGAGGAAAUUAGAGUGUUUCAAGCAGGCGUGCGCCUUGAAUACAUUAGCAUGGAAUAAUAAGAUAGGACCUUAGUUCUAUUUUGUUGGUUUCUAGAGCUGGGGUAAAGAUUAAUAGGGAUAGUUGGGGGCAUUCGUAUUUAACUGUCAGAGGUAAAAUUCUUGGAUUUGUUAAAGACGGACUACUGCGAAAGCAUUUGCCAAGGAUGUUUUCAUUGA